CUCCCAGGAGGCUCAGGGGGGCACGGAGGACCGCACCGGGUCAGGUGUCUGCUCAGGCCCCGCCCCCGCCGAUCUCCGAGGAGACACGACAAGGAAGGGGCGGGGGGGGGCGGGGUUCCGUCACCGCCGAAACCGAACGUCUUGGCUAUCUUAACGACCACUGAAUCAGCGAGUCCACCGUGUUUUUCCACCGUCAAGUCGUUUCUGGGCUGCUGUGGAGACACGCCCUUCCUGGGUUUAAUGGCUUCGCUGUCCGGCGCUGGGGAGGAGGCGUGUUUACUUUUCGCAGGGAAAAUAGCGGUUCACGGUGGGACGGUGGACCUGCUUAGUAAUCGGGUGAUUUAUCCCAGGAACGUUCUUUGGGUUUUCCUGGUGGUUUGCGCUUGAACUUCGGCCGAGUGAAGUGGGAGGAGGCGGUAGGAGGAAGGUGGCUUCGGGGAGAAAGGGAUGGGCUCGGCUCAGGGACGAGGCCGAGCUCGAGGGACAGGUGGAGGUGUGCGCAGAUCUGGGAGGAUGCCGCUCCGCCCGCUCUCCCCGACUCCUCCUCAAUGUGCAUUCACUCGCUUGCUCACGCCAUCCCUCAGUCGUUCCUGCCUUCAGGGCUUCGAAUUCCGACCACCGUCUCUGUGCUGGGGAAGCAGCACACCUGCUGAGGCCCGGGCUCCGCGGCGAUGAACAGGCUUUCCCUCCUUCGGAGGAGAGCCCAGACUCCGCGGAGGAGACAGAUGGCCAAAUAGAUCGUUCCCAAUAGGGCUGUGUUCAAAUGACAGGAGGUAAGAACAGCUAAGUGCUGGACACUGUUCCAGGUGCUUUUCAUGUAUUAAAUCGUUCAUUUCUGUCAACAAUCCUAGGGGCUAGGUCCUGAGAAACUGGAGGCACAGAAACGUAAGUAACUUACUGAAGGUCACACAGCAAACAGAUUUGCACCCAGGCUGUCUGUCCAGCCUUUUACCAUCGUGAUCUCCAGCUCUGCUUUGGAAAUGAGGUAGGUCUGCCGCAAAAAAGGAGAGAAGGAUUUUUAGAAUCCGGGUCUUGAGGAGGAAGUAGGGAAGUUUUUGAGGUAGAGGAAGCAGCAACACCAGGCCCCCAAAGUUGAGAGUGCCUGCCACAUGCAGAAAGGCGCAGGGCUGGACGUGACCUGAGAGGGGAAAUGGCAGGCAGGCACGGAUGAUGAAACUUUACUGAAGGAGGGGGUGGGAUGGUCUGAUUUUAAACGAAGAAAGAGCUCUCAGGGGGCUCAGUGGAGGACAGAUUGUGGGCGGGAGUAGAUGAGAGCCAGGGGGAGUGGGCUCCUGCCAUUUCAGCCUUCUGGGGCCCUGUCCCUUUUGCCCUGAUCUUCCCCAGGGCCCGCUGCCCCUUGCUCUCCAGCGCGGUUUGGCUGACUCCGGCUAGACUUGAGGGUGGGCACGUGACUCAGGUCUGGCCAAUCAGCCUCUUCCAUCCCUCUGGCCGCAGGGAUUGGCCCAGGAGUGUACCUGUGACUCAAGUCAGGCCAAUGAGACUCAAUUCUGGGGUUUUUGUUAGACCUGCUCGGGGAAAGGAGGCUCUUUCUCAGGUUGCUGGGUGGGAGUGUGAGUCCGGGAGAAGCCUCUGCCUGAGAAUGAAGCUGCGUUAGUUUGCUGGGGCUGCAAUAACUAAGCAGCACGCAGCUUAAACCACAGACAUUUAUUUUCCCUCAUUUCUGGAAGCUGGAAGUCCAAGAUCAAGGUGUCGAAAGGCUGGUUUCUCCACUUGGCCUGCAGAUGGCCGUCUUCUUCUGGUGUCUUCACGUGGUCUUCCUUCUGUGUCCCAAUCUCUUCCUUUUAUAAGGACACCAGUCAUAUGGAUUAGGGCCCACCCGUGUGACCUCAGUUUACCUUCAUUACCUCCUUAAAGAACCCAUCACAAAAUAUAGCCAUGUUCUAAGGUACUGGGGGUCAGGAUUUCAAUAUAUGAAUUCGAGGGGAGGGAACACAAUUCAGCCCAUAACAGAAGCCAACACAGACAAACACAUGGAGGUAGGGGGAGAGAUCAAGGCCUGACCUGAUUUGAGCCCCUGGAUCCAACUGUGCUUGAAGCUGAAGCUAAUACUAUCCUGGACUCUUGAGUUUCAUGAGCCAGUAAGUACCUCAGCCUCAUUCCUCUCUUUUUUUCUUAAACUAGUUGAGUUUCUGUUACAGCUAAAAUUCCUGAGCGGUACACAAGGGAACCAGUUAGCAAACUAAGAUAGUCUACACCUGAUGAAAUGACAACUUGCAAGGACAGUGCUUGUAUCUGCACCCAGGGCUGUCCAAUUCCAAUAGGCAGAGGUAGCAGGUCAGAAGAAAGUGGGCCGAGCUGGUGCCAGCCUCUUCCCACAUAGGCAGGCGGUGCCACCUUAUCCCAGAAGCCAUGCCGGACAGAGCCAGAAAACCCUCCUUUCCCACCAGUGUUGACUGUGUGGAAUAGGCGGGUGCUGGCGGGUGUUGUUGGGUUGUAGAAGUCUUUUGAGAAGGGCAGAAAGCAUUUUGGAAAGCCUUGGCAAUGAGCUUGGGACAUCACCUCACAGGUUGCCGGGUGCUGCCCAGAGAUGCUCAGAUGGAACUCGAAGGAGCAGGGCCUUGGUUCCAGGAGGUUCCCUGCAGGAGUGGCAGAAUGAGCUCCCCGAGCAUCCUCGGACCCGGCUGUCUGGGCCAGAGCCAGAAUGGUUCUCGGGCCGUUUCUCACCCCAAUUUCAAAGGCUUCGUCUUCCACUGAAGGAAAAGCUUGCACUUUCACAGUGAAAAAUUUAAGGAAAGAUCAUCCACGUAUCGUCCAAAGUCAAUUACUACAUCCAUCCUCAAGUCCAGGGUCUCUGAGUGAUGAAGUGCAGCCCACUCAUCAGGUCCAGAUGUGAGAAGAGACUGCCUGUCUGUUAUCUUAGCUUCAUCUGAGACAGAAGUCAGGAUGGCUGUCUUUUCUGGGGGCUGCACAUUUUUUCUUGGUACAAGUUUGACCCCCAAGGAUUUUUUUUUUUUUUAAAGAUUGGUACCUGAGCUAACAACUGUUGCCAAUCUUUUUCUUCUUUUUUUUUUUUCUGCUUUUUCUCCCCAAAUCUCCCCAGUACAUAGUUGUAUGUUGUAGUUGUGGGUCCUUCUAGUUGUGGCAUGCGGGACACCUCCUCAGCAUGGCCUGAUGAGUGGUGCCAUGUCGGCGCCCAGGAUCCAAACCGGCGAAACCCUGGGCCACUGAAGCAGAGUGCAUGAACUUAACCACUUGGCCAGAGGGCCAGCCCCUCAAGGAUUAUUUUUAGGGUUUAACUGUCACCAGCUAUCAUCGGCCAGGCUUGGACUGUUUCAGAGAUAUUCAUCUCUCAGAAAUGUAAUGGAGAUCCAGUCUUUGAUUCCAGAGACUUCCGUGUACAAGUCACCACAGCAAAGGUUUUCGUCUAGACGUGGUAUGUGAGCCUAAGUGGUCCCAUGUUCCACCCGCUCUCUCUCUGCUCUGCCCAGACCUCUAGUCCUUGGUCUAUUGGCUGGUUCUUGGGGGCGAUUUAAAGUAGGAACCUUGGGUGGAGAGUCUCUUCCUUUAGUUUGAUCUUUGCAUGUUGCUGUUCCUCCUUUAUUAGACAGAGAAAGUUCUAGACAAUAGCCUGAGGCACUGGUCUAAUUUCCUGCUAACGCUGUAGCUUCAUUGCUGUUACUCAGGGUUUUUCAACUUGUAACUCUUCAAAUGAUGGGAUUCUCGGUCGAUUUCGAUUAUAGGCUGCAGAUUAUGCGCCCCUCUUAGCAAAGCUACAUGGCUCCCAUCGGCUUGCACACUGGCCAACUCUGGUCUGAGACCAUCUUUCUCUUUUAGGAUUUUAUUAAAAAUGACAAGAAGUAGCCAGCAUGGACUAAUAUUCGGAAUUUUCCUAUCAUUUCUUCUGACUCUAUGACCUCAAUUGGCAUGAAGUCUUAUGGUAGAGCAGGCAACAGUUUGACUAAAUGUUUGUCACUGCGUGAAAAGGGCCACCUGCUUCAGCCAUUAAUGAUCAGGUCCUUCUUCCCCCAUGCUUUAAGUUCUGAUACUUUCCUUACCCUACUCCUGGUACCAAUAUUUUUUAAAAAAUCAGAACUUUUAGUGUGUGCAACAGAAAUUGACUCUGGCUUAUUAAGCAGAAAAAGAUACUAAUUAAAGGAUAUUGGGUAAAUUAGAAUUGUUGCAAGGGCUGAAGAAUCAGA
This 4160-nucleotide long non-coding RNA is filed under the name Equus caballus (horse). RNAcentral's name for it is "lncRNA (ENSECAG00000053099.1)". Lineage: Eukaryota; Metazoa; Chordata; Mammalia; Perissodactyla; Equidae. The record is from RNAcentral.